GCUCAACCGAGGAAGUGCUUCGAAAACUGGUAAACUUGAGUGCAGAAGAGGAAAGUGGAACUCCAUGUGUAGCGGUGGAAUGCGUAGAUAUAUGGAAGAACACCAGUGGCGAAGGCGGCUUUCUGGUCUGUAACUGACGCUGAGAUUCGAAAGCAUGGGUAGCAAACAGGAUUAGAUACCCUGGUAGUCCAUGCCGUAAACGAUGAGUGCUAAGUGUUGGAGGGUUUCCGCCCUUCAGUGCUGCAGCUAACGCAUUAAGCACUCCGCCUGGGGAGUACGACCGCAAGGUUGAAACUCAAAGGAAUUGACGGGGGCCCGCACAAGCGGUGGAGCAUGUGGUUUAAUUCGAAGCAACGCGAAGAACCUUACCAGGUCUUGACAUACCAUGAAAAGCUUAGAGAUAAGUCUUUCCCUUCGGGGACAUGGAUACAGGUGGUGCAUGGUUGUCGUCAGCUCGUGUCGUGAGAUGUUGGGUUAAGUCCCGCAACGAGCGCAACCCUUAUUAUCAGUUGCCAGC
RNAcentral lists this ribosomal RNA (517 nucleotides) under uncultured bacterium. Its description in RNAcentral is "bacterial SSU rRNA". It matches the Rfam family "Bacterial small subunit ribosomal RNA", at positions 607 to 1122 of the family's 1533-position model. The record is from RNAcentral.